RNAcentral lists this ribosomal RNA (427 nucleotides) under uncultured bacterium. RNAcentral's name for it is "bacterial SSU rRNA". It matches the Rfam family "Bacterial small subunit ribosomal RNA", at positions 355 to 774 of the family's 1533-position model. The record is from RNAcentral.
UGGGGAAUUUUGGACAAUGGGGGCAACCCUGAUCCAGCCAUCCCGCGUGUGCGAUGAAGGCCUUCGGGUUGUAAAGCACUUUUGGCAGGGAAGAAACAGCCUGGGCUAAUAUCCCGGGCGACUGACGGUACCUGCAGAAUAAGCACCGGCUAACUACGUGCCAGCAGCCGCGGUAAUACGUAGGGUGCGAGCGUUAAUCGGAAUUACUGGGCGUAAAGGGUGCGCAGGCGGUCUUGCAAGUCAGAUGUGAAAGCCCCGGGCUUAACCUGGGAAUUGCGUUUGAAACUACAAGACUAGAGUGCAGCAGAGGGGAGUGGAAUUCCAUGUGUAGCAGUGAAAUGCGUAGAGAUGUGGAAGAACACCGAUGGCGAAGGCAGCUCCCUGGGUUGACACUGACGCUCAUGCACGAAAGCGUGGGGAGCAAACA